Mastomys coucha (southern multimammate mouse) is the source of this 3237-nucleotide long non-coding RNA. RefSeq lists it as uncharacterized. The transcript is spliced from 2 exons. The record is from RefSeq and is a predicted model, not a curated record. Lineage: Eukaryota; Metazoa; Chordata; Mammalia; Rodentia; Muridae.
GAGAGAGAGAGAGAGAAAUCACUCCAACAAUAAAAUUAAGUAUUGAAUUGGCUUGUUCCUGCCUUUGCCACCCUUCACUUCAUGUCUUUUCCUAUUCUAUCCCUCUAGUUUUCUGUCUUUACUUUGUCUUGGAUUUUCCUUUUUAAAUGAUAAGUUGUGAUCAAUGCCUCACAGUUUUGAGUGAAAAAAAUAUUUCAAGGUAGGCACUGGAGGUAAUCUUCAGUGUAGAGUUACUGUCUAGCAGGCAUGAAAUUCUAGCUUCAAUCACAGUGCUCAUGCGCAUGCAUACACAUGUGUGUGAAUGUGUAUACACGUAUGAAUAUGCACAUGCACACAGAAUGAGAAACUUAGACUCUUAGAGCUACUGAAGUGACAGGAGUUAGGACUCCUUUUCCACUCUUAGCAGGUGUGUGAUUUUCUGAAUUUUCUGUAAGGCUGCAGUAUCACUGAAGAACCUUUUUAGUUUUUCCAUUUUGAACAUAUGAGUUAUUACACCCCCCCCCCCCCGUUCCCAGGAAAAUCAUAUUUCAAGUACAUUGACUUACUAAGAUACCAGCCUUCUUGUCUUCCAUAAUACUACCUAUGUAAAAGUAGGAAAAAUAUAGACUAUGGUAUCUUCUUGGUAAAAUCAUCUGAAGUGAUAUAAUGGUCAAAUGUAAACAAAGGAGCCAUUUUAAUGGUGUACUGAAGACACUCCUGGUAUUUAGGACAUUUGUACCUAAAGAUACCUGGUAUUAAAUACUCAGAAGAGCUGUCUACAUUAGAUAUAUGAUUUCAAGGAUUUAUGUGGUAUUAGAGUAUUUACAAGAUGUUCUCACACAUUCUCUUCUGAAUGCGAUCAGGAGUCUGUUGCUACAAUGUCCCAUGACCUAGCCACUGUUAAUUGAGGACAUUCAUAAAAGGAUACAAAGAAAAGCAGGAAAUGAGAACCAGCCUCAGAGAAGCCACUUAAAAACACCACAGUUCUGUUAGUUUGAGCAUAUCAAAUGGCUGCUUUGAAUGUCAACUCAGCAAAUCUGUGCUCCGAAAGAUCAAGUUGAGGUAUGUAGGGUUGAAGGGGAAGGCCAGUUGUUUAGGAUCCCUGGAGCUCUGAAAGAUACAGGCAGUUAUUGGACAUUUGUAUUUCUAUCUGACUGCCCACAGGUAACAGUGGCACACAGACUUCCAUCCUGGCACCUGCCUCCAGCAUUUCUUUGGAUUCAGUAUACGCAUGAAUUUGGAUUGCAGUUUUCUGAUCUGGGUGUCUUCUAUCCAGUUUAAGGGCUGAUAUAUAAACUGUGUCUCUUGACCCUUCCAAACUGGAUGAAGAAAAGCCAGUGCAGCAGGUAGUGCCUUCUCCCCCUCCCCCCAACCAACCCCAGCUGUAGAUGAAAGAACAUGAAACCCAGUGACUCAAAGCAGACUUUAUGAUCUGAUGGCUGUCACUAUUUACCCAGGUAAAUUGAGCAGUAGUUGAAGUUUGAAAAAUAAAAACAACAAGCAAGGACUGAAACUAACUGCACUGAGGUGUCGGUGUGGAGGGCAGGUAAGGUAGAUUAAUAACUGGCCACUCCUAACAAGGUUUGGGCUCUUACUGUCAGAGGGUAAUAAUUAAUGAUCAAGUGUUAAUGGAGAUACUGGGCUGUUGAUGUCAUUAAUUCAGCUCAGUGGAGCCAGUUCUGCCUGGGACCUGCCACAGCUGUCACCGCAUUGGCUUAAUUAUUCUAGUGCCUUCAGGCUUUUUGCUUUCAGUUUUUUCCCUUUACCCUUUUUGCCUUACUAACUAUAGGACAUUGUUCUUUCCCUGACACAAAAGUAUGGAGAGUGUCCAGCUCCCUGGGCAGUGCCAAGCCUCGAGAACGUGGACACCCAAAGGCAACAAAGGAGAUCAGAACUUCUUGCUUGGAUGAAAAGAUAGGAAGUCCUGAGGAAAAGACAUGUUUAAAAAGCCUGAUUGUGCAGAUGCAAUUUUGGGGGCUCUUUAAGGGUUUGUAUGUUGACCGUGAACUCUGAGCCAUGUAAAAUGUCAAAGUGCUCACCCUCAUCCACAGGAGAAUAAUUUCAACAAAGGGAAUAUACAAAGAGUGGCUUCAGAGUAUUGGUGAAACAGUACCAGCACCCCUUCGUGAAGGGACAAGGAAGUCAGCUUUGCUUGGCCAGUGGGAGCAAGGAGAAGCAGCAAGGGAAAUGUCCCCACGUUCUGUUCCUGCUGUCAGUGCUCCUCCUCAGGAGUUCAGGGAUCUGACUUCUGUGCUUUUAAAGCCUUCUUGCAUUGAGUUGCUUCUAUCUCAUGCUGCUUUGAAAAACUUUCUUUUUUUUUCUUCUGGCUUUCAAAAUACUAUUUUGAUCUUUCUCCUCUGACCUGGCCCAGUGAUAGCCACUGUCUUAAACUUUCCUCUUUGGAAAUAGAUUUAUUUAUUUUAUUUUGUACCAUGCCCAGUUUUCAAAUCGUGUAAUCUAACAAAAUCUAAUCUCCUCUCUUUAGAUGUGUAUUUCUAUGUCUGGUAAGAGGAGCUGAGCCAGUGUCUCCUGACAGGAUGCUGCUUGACUCACGUCCAGGCUGAAGUACUUAAAAAAUGCCAGGCACUACAACAAUUUUAAAUCUCUCUCUACACUGCACAUGGCUAUUUAAAAUAAUUGAAGCUCUUCAAAUUUUUAUAUGUGUUCAAAUUUGGAAGUCAUUGGUUCUGAGCAUGUGCAGGACACAAUGAUUUAAGGUUAUUAGAGUCUCCUCAAUUUAUGCUGAGUGUUCCAGCUUGAGUCGGACAGGAGAACCUGAACUGGGGCAUCUACAAGUGACUCAACAUUGUCAUUACACUCAGAUCUUGUGCAGGUGAUCAGAAUUAUGGACACUUGUUUACUUUUUGAGAAAAGCACUGUAAAAAUGACACUUUUUUUCAGUUCAAACGAUAUUAUUAGCCCAUGAGAGAACACUUAAAUUAACCACUUAAAGAGCACCAUAACCCAGUUUUACUUUCACUGUCAUAGUUCCCACUGAUGACCUGAUUACAACCAAAGUUGUAAAGCCAUAUGAACAUUUGGCUUGGUAAAGAACUGUUGUUUUCAGAGCACACAUGGAGAAAUAAGUCUUUGGUAAAACACCUGAUGUACUCUGAUGACGCCCCAGUCUAUAGUAGUCUACCCUUGGAGAGGAUGUAGGUUUUACUCUGAAUACUGGGAUUUUUGAAUGAUUGCAUUUCGCACACAGUUUAAUGUUUAAUUUCAAUGUCUUAAAUAAAGAACUUUUAUUAAAUGUGA